GCAUAUCAAUAAGCGGAGGAAAAGAAACCAACCGGGAUUGCCCUAGUAACGGCGAGUGAAGCGGCAAGAGCUCAAAUUUGAAAGCUGGCUCCUUCGGGGUCCGCAUUGUAAUUUGCAGAGGAUGCUUCGGAAUCGGCCCCCAUCUAAGUGCCCUGGAACGGGCCGUCAUAGAGGGUGAGAAUCCCGUCUGGGAUGGGGUGUCCGUGCCCGUGUGAAGCUCCUUCGACGAGUCGAGUUGUUUGGGAAUGCAGCUCUAAUUGGGUGGUAAAUUUCAUCUAAAGCUAAAUAUUGGCCGGAGACCGAUAGCGCACAAGUAGAGUGAUCGAAAGAUGAAAAGCACUUUGAAAAGAGAGUUAAAAAGCACGUGAAAUUGUUGAAAGGGAAGCGCUUGCGACCAGACUCGCCCGCGGGGUUCAGCCGGCAUUCGUGCCGGUGUACUUCCCCGCGGGCGGGCCAGCGUCGGUUUGGGCGGCCGGUCAAAGGCCCCUGGAAUGUAACGCCUCUCGGGGCGUCUUAUAGCCAGGGGUGCCAUGCGGCCUGCCCGGACCGAGGAACGCGCUUCGGCUCGGACGCUGGCAUAAUGGUCGUAAGCGACCCGUCUUGAAACACGGACCA
This 615-nucleotide ribosomal RNA is filed under the name Aschersonia sp. Ag-11. RNAcentral's name for it is "LSU rRNA". It matches the Rfam family "Eukaryotic large subunit ribosomal RNA", at positions 38 to 668 of the family's 3401-position model. Lineage: Eukaryota; Fungi; Ascomycota; Sordariomycetes; Hypocreales; Clavicipitaceae. The record is from RNAcentral.